RNAcentral lists this ribosomal RNA (500 nucleotides) under uncultured bacterium. RNAcentral's name for it is "partial 16S ribosomal RNA". It matches the Rfam family "Bacterial small subunit ribosomal RNA", at positions 30 to 523 of the family's 1533-position model. The record is from RNAcentral.
AUUGAACGCUGGCGGCAUGCCUUACACAUGCAAGUCGAACGGCAGCACGGGAGCAAUCCUGGUGGCGAGUGGCGAACGGGUGAGUAAAGUAUCGGAACGUGCCCAGCCGUGGGGGAUAACGUAGAGAAAGUUACGCUAAUACCGCAUACGAUCCAUGGAUGAAAGCGGGGUAUCGCAAGACCUCGCGCGAUUUGAGCGGCCGAUAUCAGAUUAGGUAGUUGGUGGGGUAAAGGCUCACCAAGCCGACGAUCUGUAGCUGGUCUGAGAGGACGACCAGCCACACUGGGACUGAGACACGGCCCAGACUCCUACGGGAGGCAGCAGUGGGGAAUUUUGGACAAUGGGCGAAAGCCUGAUCCAGCCAUGCCGCGUGCAGGAUGAAGGCCUUCGGGUUGUAAACUGCUUUUGUACGGAACGAGAAGGUUUGGCCUAAUAAGCUGAGCUCAUGACGGUACCGUAAGCAUGAGCACCGGCUAACUACGUGCCAGCCGCCGCAGUAA